GAGUUUGAUCCUGGCUCAGGAUGAACGCUGGCGGCGUGCUUAACACAUGCAAGUCGAACGAGGCUUAUCUGUGGAAGUUUUCGGAUGGAAACGGAUAUGACCGAGUGGCGGACGGGUGAGUAACGCGUGGGGAACCUGCCCCAUUCCGGGGGAUACCAGUUGGAAACGGCUGUUAAUACCGCAUAAGCGCACAGCACCGCAUGGUGGAGUGUGAAAAACUGAGGUGGAAUGGGAUGGCCCCGCGUCUGAUUAGCCAGUUGGCAGGGUAACGGCCUACCAAAGCGACGAUCAGUAGCCGGCCUGAGAGGGCGACCGGCCACAUUGGGACUGAGACACGGCCCAAACUCCUACGGGAGGCAGCAGUGGGGAAUAUUGCACAAUGGGGGAAACCCUGAUGCAGCGACGCCGCGUGAGUGAAGAAGUAUUUCGGUAUGUAAAGCUCUAUCAGCAGGGAAGAAGAUGACGGUACCUGCACAAGAAGCCCCGGCUAACUACGUGCCAGCAGCCGCGGUAAUACGUAGGGGGCAAGCGUUAUCCGGAUUUACUGGGUGUAAAGGGAGCGUAGACGGAAGGUCAAGUCAGGUGUGAAAGGCAUGGGCUCAACCCAUGGACUGCACUUGAAACUGGUCAUCUCGAGUGUCGGAGGGGCAGGCGGAAUUCCUGGUGUAGCGGUGAAAUGCGUAGAUAUCAGGAAGAACACCGGUGGCGAAGGCGGCCUGCUGGACGACGACUGACGUUGAGGCUCGAAGGCGUGGGGAGCAAACAGGAUUAGAUACCCUGGUAGUCCACGCAGUAAACGAUGAAUACUAGGUGCUGGGUUCCAGAGGGAUUCGGUGCCGGCGCAAACGCAUUAAGUAUUCCACCUGGGGAGUACGUUCGCAAGAAUGAAACUCAAAGGAAUUGACGGGGA
RNAcentral lists this ribosomal RNA (910 nucleotides) under uncultured bacterium. RNAcentral's name for it is "bacterial SSU rRNA". It matches the Rfam family "Bacterial small subunit ribosomal RNA", at positions 9 to 919 of the family's 1533-position model. The record is from RNAcentral.